This 1307-nucleotide ribosomal RNA is filed under the name Bacillus amyloliquefaciens. Its description in RNAcentral is "bacterial SSU rRNA". It matches the Rfam family "Bacterial small subunit ribosomal RNA", at positions 61 to 1351 of the family's 1533-position model. The record is from RNAcentral. Lineage: Bacteria; Bacillati; Bacillota; Bacilli; Caryophanales; Bacillaceae.
GUCGAGCGGACAGAUGGGAGCUUGCUCCCUGAUGUUAGCGGCGGACGGGUGAGUAACACGUGGGUAACCUGCCUGUAAGACUGGGAUAACUCCGGGAAACCGGGGCUAAUACCGGAUGCUUGUUUGAACCGCAUGGUUCAAACAUAAAAGGUGGCUUCGGCUACCACUUACAGAUGGACCCGCGGCGCAUUAGCUAGUUGGUGAGGUAACGGCUCACCAAGGCGACGAUGCGUAGCCGACCUGAGAGGGUGAUCGGCCACACUGGGACUGAGACACGGCCCAGACUCCUACGGGAGGCAGCAGUAGGGAAUCUUCCGCAAUGGACGAAAGUCUGACGGAGCAACGCCGCGUGAGUGAUGAAGGUUUUCGGAUCGUAAAGCUCUGUUGUUAGGGAAGAACAAGUGCCGUUCAAAUAGGGCGGCACCUUGACGGUACCUAACCAGAAAGCCACGGCUAACUACGUGCCAGCAGCCGCGGUAAUACGUAGGUGGCAAGCGUUGUCCGGAAUUAUUGGGCGUAAAGGGCUCGCAGGCGGUUUCUUAAGUCUGAUGUGAAAGCCCCCGGCUCAACCGGGGAGGGUCAUUGGAAACUGGGGAACUUGAGUGCAGAAGAGGAGAGUGGAAUUCCACGUGUAGCGGUGAAAUGCGUAGAGAUGUGGAGGAACACCAGUGGCGAAGGCGACUCUCUGGUCUGUAACUGACGCUGAGGAGCGAAAGCGUGGGGAGCGAACAGGAUUAGAUACCCUGGUAGUCCACGCCGUAAACGAUGAGUGCUAAGUGUUAGGGGGUUUCCGCCCCUUAGUGCUGCAGCUAACGCAUUAAGCACUCCGCCUGGGGAGUACGGUCGCAAGACUGAAACUCAAAGGAAUUGACGGGGGCCCGCACAAGCGGUGGAGCAUGUGGUUUAAUUCGAAGCAACGCGAAGAACCUUACCAGGUCUUGACAUCCUCUGACAAUCCUAGAGAUAGGACGUCCCCUUCGGGGGCAGAGUGACAGGUGGUGCAUGGUUGUCGUCAGCUCGUGUCGUGAGAUGUUGGGUUAAGUCCCGCAACGAGCGCAACCCUUGAUCUUAGUUGCCAGCAUUCAGUUGGGCACUCUAAGGUGACUGCCGGUGACAAACCGGAGGAAGGUGGGGAUGACGUCAAAUCAUCAUGCCCCUUAUGACCUGGGCUACACACGUGCUACAAUGGGCAGAACAAAGGGCAGCGAAACCGCGAGGUUAAGCCAAUCCCACAAAUCUGUUCUCAGUUCGGAUCGCAGUCUGCAACUCGACUGCGUGAAGCUGGAAUCGCUAGUAAUCGCGGAUCA